This is an RNA transcript of Myotis brandtii (Brandt's bat), 4045 nucleotides long. It is a transcript of the gene named D4, zinc and double PHD fingers, family 3, with no coding region annotated. Lineage: Eukaryota; Metazoa; Chordata; Mammalia; Chiroptera; Vespertilionidae. The transcript has 10 exons. The record is from RefSeq and is a predicted model, not a curated record.
GAACGCUCGGGGAGAAUGAAACGCGUUUGUACCAGCUCAUCUCCCAUCUGCAAUAGGGAAAAGGGGCUCGGCGACCAGUUCUACAAAGAGGCGAUCGAACACUGUCGGAGCUACAACUCGCGGUUGUGUGCCGAGCGCAGUGUCCGGCUGCCCUUCCUGGACUCGCAGACCGGGGUGGCCCAAAACAACUGCUACAUCUGGAUGGAGAAGCGGCACCGGGGCCCAGGCCUUGCUCCGGGCCAGCUGUACACAUACCCCGCGCGCUGCUGGCGAAAGAAGAGAAGAUUGCACCCUCCUGAGGAUCCGAAGCUGCGGCUGCUGGAAAUAAAACCUGAGGUGGAGCUGCCCCUGAAGAAGGACGGGUUCACCUCAGAGAGCACCACGCUAGAAGCCUUGCUCCGAGGCGAGGGGGUUGAGAAGAAGGUGGACACCAGAGAGGAGGAGAGCAUCCAGGAGAUACAGAGAGUCUUGGAAAAUGAUGAAAAUGUAGAAGAAGGAAAUGAAGAAGAGGAUUUAGAAGAGGAUAUUCCCAAGCGAAAGAACAGGACCAGAGGACGGGCCCGUGGCUCUGCUGGUGGCAGGAGGAGGCAUGACCCCGCCUCUCAGGAAGACCACGACAAACCUUACGUCUGUGACAUCUGUGGCAAGCGCUACAAGAACCGACCAGGACUCAGCUACCACUACGCUCACACUCACCUGGCCAGCGAGGAGGGGGAUGAAGCUCAAGACCAGGAGACCCGGUCCCCACCGAACCACAGAAAUGAGAACCACAGACCCCAGAAAGGACCGGAUGGGACAGUCAUUCCUAAUAACUACUGUGACUUCUGCUUGGGAGGCUCCAACCUGAACAAGAAGAGUGGGCGGCCUGAAGAGCUGGUGUCCUGUGCAGACUGCGGACGCUCUGCUCAUUUGGGAAGAGAAGGCAGGAAGGAGAAGGAGGCAGCGGCCGCAGCACGCACCACGGAGGACUUAUUCGGUUCCACAUCUGAAAGUGACACCUCAACUUUCCACGGCUUUGAUGAGGACGAUUUGGAAGAGCCUCACUCCUGCCGAGGACGCCGCAGUGGCCGGGGCUCGCCCACAGCAGACAAAAAGGGCAGUUGCUAAACCCAUGAAUGGACUCUCUGGGCAAUUAGCCAUCACCCUCUGACUUGGUCAUUGUUCUGGUUCUGACACAUUUUUAAAAAAAAUGAAAGACAACCUUAGAUUUUCCCUUCAUCCUUGCUUUUUCCUCUUGCCUUCCACCCAUCCCUUCCCCCUUGCCCUCGAUUUUGAGUAUGUACAGCAGAAGCACAAACUACUGAAACAAAACAGAACAAAAGAGCAAACUAGUCCUUCAGAGAGAUGGCCUCGUGAUGUGCUGUUUAUUUUCCAGAGCAAUGAGAAGUUAGGCGAACUGUCUCUCGGGGGAGGGGAUCUUUUUGAUAUGAGCAGAGUUGAUUUCCUCAGUGUUCCUAUUUAUUGGCAAAAUGAGGAGAGGAGGAAUAUUGGGUUUGGAAACAAAGAACCAAUUACAUUAAAUAAAUUAUUAUUUAUAUAUUCUAACUAUUAUUAGAAACUGACUUUUUUUUUUUGAGAGAGAGAGAGAGAAUGAAGGAAAAUCAAAGAAAUUGAAGUAAUACCCUGUUUAGAAGGAAGCCACUGGGGGAGGAUUGAUUCAAGGAGACCCGGGCAGGAGGAGUUCCUCGGUGGGAGAUGAUUGCACUUUGUACCCCACGGAGUGUCUGGCUCCCUCGGCAGACCCCCUCCCCAUUUCUCAUCCCUGACCUUUCCGCCUUCCUCCCUGCUUGCGAGAAAAUGUCAGCAGUUGCUGAGAAGUGCGGGCUGCUGUGUGCCUCCCUCCAGCACCUGGGUCCCCCCCAGCAGCGUCUGCUGGGCUCCUCUUCUCCAUCAGCGGAGCCACUGUUCGGUGGUUGCUGGUUUUCCCCUCACUUUCCUCCUGGUGAAGAGCGAUUUCCAAAUGCAGGAAUGGAACGUAAGCAGAAAGUCAUGGACUCAGCAACCCGAGCUGCGCUCGUGGAAGAAAGAACGCUACCUGAAGUACAUUUCCCUGCCCCCGCACCCCUCUUUACAAACUUAGAAAUUCCCGUUGGAUGAUCAAGUCCUCCCGUAUCCUAUUUUUUUAUAGUGCCCUCCAGGCACUUUGUUUUAUGUUUCCAAUAGCAUCUCCUGCAAUAAACCAAAGCCACACUUGCUCAAGGCCCCUGGGGCGAUGGAGAAGACCACCCACCUUGUUGGCAGUCCCAAGAGUGAACAGCUGUGCGGGCCUAGUCAAAAGUCAACUCUAUGACCUGUGGACCCCGGCGUCCUUCAAGCAAGCCAUUUCCGAAGAAGGUGAAAGAAGGCACGAUGAUUGCACCUCCUCCUCCUCCUCUUCCUCCUCCUCCUUCUCUUCCUCUUCCCUUGCCCGGCCCCCUCCUGCGCGUGUGUUUCAGCCAACACAGGAGCCUGAAUUUUUGUGGAAAAGCCUCCAGCUCAGCUCAGAGAAGUCUCGGGAAUGGCCUCCGUUUUUGCAAUAAGAAGAUUUUUUUUUUUUCUUUUUAAAAUUCUCCAUUACAUUUUCUUUAAAUGUCUGUGAGGAAGUACCCAGGUCAGACCGGAACUGCUCUACAAUAGAAAUAACUGAAAACAAACUGAUGAGGAAAAAAAAAAAGUUCACUAUUUUAUUUAUUUCAAUAUUUAAAAGAAAAAUGUGCUGAUGUGGCACAUUAUUUUUAUUUAAAAUACCUUCUACUUCGAAAGUGAAACGCGAUUUUGUGAAGAUAUGAAGUCAAAAGAGUACGUAAUGUAAAAUAAAGACUGCAUAUUAACUAAGGAAAACACCCACAUUUUAAAUAAGAAAAUAAAGAUCAACUCUGCUCUCUCAGGCUCUUUAAAAAGCCAUUCAUGUAUGUGCUUUAGGUAUUUUUAUUUCUGCCAGUUGGAUGUGGUAAGUGAGGAGUGAUCAGGUUUUUUUUUUCCUUCUUCAAAAGUCUAUCGAAAGUGUUGGUGAUGUUCAAUGAGUGUUACGUCUUGACUGAAAUAAAUUAGCCACAAAGGCUAUCAGCAGUCUCUCUGCGCCCCCUCCCCCCAAAAAACCUCUCCCCUAACCCAGGCAAGCCCCAUUUAUCUGAAUGUCAAGAAGCAGCCUGCCUCCUGGUUAUCAUGUCUGACAAGGCCUGGUUCUGAAAGGAAUUCCACCUAGUGAUUAAAUAUAUCUCUGUGAGUUCAACAGAUUCAAACACAGACAGCUUUGUUUAAAAUAAUGCAGUGAAGGAAGAGGGAAAAAGAAGACAAACUGAGCAUCAGCCGAGAUGGUACUAAUUUGGUCUCCUAACAACUAGAGGAAGCUUGCAAAGGGAACCCUCUGCUGAACCGGCUUCAGGGACCGAGAUGCUGGGGUCCCGAGGGCAAGAAAGGCCAACCUGAGUGAGGGAACCUCAGAGUCAGUUGCUGGUGGGGGUAAAGGAGAAAGGCGAGUGUUCUGACAUGUCCUUUUAUGGCCACGUGAGGGGAAGGGAAUGUUAUGGCCUCUGAAAUGUAACUCAGCAUCGCGCCCUUGGCCUAAUGAAGGAGCCGGUUGACCGGCUGGGGCGCUGGGUUUUACUCCAGGCCUUUUACACGGCCAUGCUCUUGGGUUUCACUCACUUCUCAGCAGAGUCUUAUUAAAUGUACAGUCUCGUGCCGGAUAGUCUUGUCAGCAAAAGUCCUCGAGUGACGGUGCUACUGAAACGGUUUUAAGCCGGAGAAUGUCUCUUUUGCCUUUGAAAGGGGAGACUGGAUGGGCACCACAGUCCCGCCAGCCCUUUCAGAUUUCUCAUUCAGGACCAGUCCUCAGGGGGAGAUCACCAAGAGUGUCUUUGUAUCAUUUGUAGCCCUUUGCUGUGACAUUUUCUGAUAGAAAAUGUCCCCUUUAAAAAUGCUAAUAAUUAUAAUAAUAAUUCACUCUCCAACCAACUCCCACAAGUUAUAACAUGUGUAGAAUUGUGAUAAAGCUUUGCAUAAUGUAGGGUUUGUAUCAAGUGUGUGUAAGUUUCUGUUAAAUAAAAGUCUAUUUCCAAUGCUC